AUGACCCACGAGAAAGGGAAAGGGGAAAACACCAAUCCUGCGCUGGGCUUUUUCGACUUUUCCUUUAAAAAGAAAAAAGUUUUUCAAGCUGUAGGUUCCAAGAACCGGCAGGAGGGGGGCGAGGCGGGGUGGGGGGGUGUACAGAAAAGGCGCCUGGUCGGUUAUGAGUCACAAGUGGGUUAUAAAAGGGUCGCACGUUCGCAGGCGCGGGCUUCCUGUGCGCGGCUGAGCCGGGGCGCAGCGCGACGGUCCCAUCGGGCGGCCUCCACCCUCGGGACGCGAGCGGAGCGCCGAGCCCAGCGGCGAUCACGCGACGCGGGGAAGGAAGGAAGAUCUCUCCUUUCAAAGAUAACUAGCCAAAUGAACAUAAUAAACAAGUCCAAGCAGUUGGAGGGGCGGCCGCCACCCCACCGUCUCCAAAUAACUGAUUCGCAUUUCCGAGACGGUUCACCUGAAGCCUUGCCUGCCACCUUGGUUCUCCCACCUGAAGGAGAUGGUUCUAAUGGUGGUGCAAACCAGGAAGGGGAAAUCUGUGGUUUACGUUCUCUGUGCCUCAUCCCUCUCGGAGAGCUGGAGGCUUGCUGGAGGCUAUAUGCUGUUAAUGCUAAUUGUGAUAGGGGUUUUUACCUCCGUCUGACUCCUACAUGUUAGCAUUAACAGGGUAUGAUGCCUGUUACUAGCAUUCACAUGGAACAAACUGCUGCUGUGGGAGGAUGACAAAGAAGUGUGAGUCACCCUGCUGGAUAAACUCAGACUUUAAGCUUUAUUAUUUUUUGUUAAUCAUAAUCUGGUCACUGGGAUGUUCCACCUGAUAGUAAGUCUUUAAGAAUAAGGUCUUGUAAAAGAUUUAUCAACGGUAUCCUGAAAGCAAACUUUUUUACUUUAAUCCUUAAGCCCACAUUUUUUUUAAAAAAAUCUUUAAUGGAAAAUGUAUUCCUGUCCUUUUUAAUUCACAGUUAUGGUUUGUUCAUUAUAACUGUUUAUAAACACUUUGAAUAAUUUAACUAGAAAGAAAUAUAAACACAUUCUGAGUAUCUUUGCAGUUAAAAAUUAGGACUACUAUCCACUAAUUAAUCAUGGAUUGUUGGGAAAUAUGUUCAAAAAGAUUUAGAAAUUGGUAUUUCCCCCAUGUAACAAUUCUAUUUAGACAACUUCAGUUUCAAAUGGAUACUUUUAUAUGAAUCUUAAAGUAGACUUGAAAGGCUAUGGCAAUUAGUUUUUAAAAAAUGAAAGAUUUCAUUCUUUUUUAUGGCUGAGUAGUAUUCCAUUGCAUAUAUAUACCACAUAUCCUUAAUCCACCCAUUCGUCUGUCGCUGGACAUUUAGGCUGUUUCCAUUUGCAGCAACAUGGAUGCAAAUAGAGAUUCUCAUACUAAAUGAAGUUAAGUCAGAAAGAUAAAGACAAAUUCCAUAUGAUAUCAGUUAUAUGUGGACUCAAAAAUAUGGCACAAAUGAACCUAUCUACAAAACAGAAACAGACCCACAGACAUAGAGAAUAGACUUGUGGUUGCCAAGGGGGAGGGAAGAGGGAGUGGGAUGGAUGGGCAGUUUGGGGUUAGUAGAUACAGACUAUUACAUUUAGAUUAGAUGGGCAAUGAGGUCCUACUAUUCAGCACGGGGAACUAUAUCCAGUCUCUUGGGAUAGACCAUGAUGGAAGAUAAUAUAAGACAAGGAAUGAAUAUAUACAUAUGACUGGGUCACCUUGCUGCAAUAGCAGAACUUGCCACAACGUUGUACAUCAACUAUACGUUAAUAAAAAAAUCAAAAAGAUUUUUUAAACUUAGUAC
This 1787-nucleotide long non-coding RNA is filed under the name Sus scrofa (pig). Its description in RNAcentral is "lncRNA (ENSSSCG00055009287.1)". The stretch from base 596 to 660 matches the Rfam family "mir-155 microRNA precursor family". The record is from RNAcentral. Lineage: Eukaryota; Metazoa; Chordata; Mammalia; Artiodactyla; Suidae.